This 23453-nucleotide long non-coding RNA is filed under the name Coffea arabica (coffee). Its description in RNAcentral is "long non-coding RNA (CARA_LNC000874)". The record is from RNAcentral. Lineage: Eukaryota; Viridiplantae; Streptophyta; Magnoliopsida; Gentianales; Rubiaceae.
ACACCUGGGAUACAUUUGAGCUCCGAGUUCACAAGCGGGUGAUUGACCUUUUCAGCUCUCCAGAUGUGGUGAAGCAAAUCACCUCGAUCACUAUUGAGCCUGGUGUAGAAGUUGAAGUUACAAUUGCUGAUUCUUAACUUUCUUUGUCAGAGCAUCAUAGUUAGGUAGGAGGUGGUGGCUGGGAAUGUUACAUAUCCAACCCCACCUCCUUAUGCUUCAAUAUCCUUAUGCUUCAAUAUUUAUGGCACAUAGGGAGUGCUUUUUUGGUUAACAGUUUUGAAGUGUAGACAUCUGGUGGGAUGAGAGGAAUAUUCAGUUCUUCAUGAAUUUUAAUUUUCAGCUUCAAGUAAAAGUUUCUUUUAUACUCUCAAUGUAUGGAACUUUGGGUUGCAAAUGUUACGUGUAUUAGUAUGAUUUUUCUUUCUUCUGAUCGUUGUCUACAGCAAUUACAUAGCUUCACUAAUUGGUGAAACUAGCUUCCACUUUUUGUCAACCCUUAAGCCAUGUUGUUGACUCUAUACUUCCCCCCAAGUACUUUGGCCCAUAUGGCGACUUUUUGUUUUAAGAAUCUCCAGCAUGUUUUUGCAAGCAUGGCUCUAUUUACUCUCUUCAAUUUUUGAACCCCCAGCCCCCCUCUAUUCUUAGGCUGUGUAAUCAUAUUCCAGUUGAUCAGGUGCAUUCUCCUUUUUUCUCCAUCUCCCCAAAUGAAAUUCCUUAUUCUCUUCUCAAUGCCAGCAGUAAUAUUAGCCGGUAACAAGGAAGUUUGCAUAGCAUAUAUUGAUAUGGUAGAUACAACGGAUUUGACCAAUAGAGCUCUGUCUGCGUAUGAGAGGCACCUACCCUUCCAUCCCUGUAACCUCUUAUGAACCUUUUCCAAGAUUUCAUCAUAUGUUCUUCUGUUUACCCUAGAGUGUAACAACAGGAUUCCAAGAUAUUUUCCCAGAUUAUUUGUUAAGCUCACUCCUGUUCUAUCCCUGAUAUGCUCUGCCUAGUCCCACUUCACAUUCUUUGAGCAAAAAAGUCUUGAUUUCCCAAUGCUUACCUUUUGUCCUGACAAGUCACAAAAUCUUUCCAAUACCCCUUGUAAGACUCUAGCUUGUUGCAAGCUUGCUUCAGUAAAAAGUAUGAGACCAUCCGCCAAAAAAAAGAUGAGAGACUGCCGGACCUCUUCUGGAAGUCCUACCAGGUUUCCAAAUUCCCUUCGUGACUUCUCUACUGAGUAGAUGCCCCAACCUUUUCCAUGCAAAGCACAAAGAGAUAUGGUGAUAGGGGGUCCCUUAACGGAGACCUCUAGAUGGUAUGAAAGGUGCAAUGCGUUCUCCAUUCCAUAAAACUUCCAUGCUUGAUGCCUGUACACAGUUCAUGAUCUGAGAAAUGAGGCUCUUAGGAAAAUUCACCAUCUCCAAAGUAGAUGGUCACAGGCUUUCUCUAAAUCAAUUUUAACUGCCAUGUAGCCUGUUCUCCCUUGUUUCCUUGGUAUAAUAUCUUGCGCAAUAAUUGCAUUAUCGCUAAUUUGCCUCCGAGAAUAAAAAGCUACUUUGAUCUGGGGCCACUAGCUCUGCCAUUAUUGGACGAAUUCUCUCAACCAAGAUCUUCGUUAUUGUUUUGUAAGAAACAUUGCAAAGUGAAAUCGGUCUAAAUUGAGUGAUGUUUGUUGGGUUUGCCACCUUUGGAAUUAAAGAAAUCAGAGUACCAUUCACCUCUAUCAGCAUUGUCUUAUUUUGAAAGGUUUUCAUGACAAAGUCCACCAUACUAGCCCCUACCAGAUGCCAUGCCAAAAUUUCUGGUAAAAUACUGUACAUAUCCCAUCAGGUCCCGGGUUUUGCUGAUUUUAGGUCCCUUACAAAAUUAAAUUAGUCAAAAUUAGUCUCAAUCUAGAUUUCUAACCAUUUUUUAGUUUAAAUCUACCACGUAAUCCACACAAAUGAUCAAAUCUCACUUUUUUAAGGAAAAAAUAAAUGUAGGUUGGGUAAUUUGUUUCGCUGCAAAUUUUUUUUAAGAGCAACAAUGAAUGUUCAUUGAGUGAUUUGUUUAAUUACAAAUAAAAUCUUUUUUGCACCUACAAAAAUGACUCGUGUGUGUCACAUGGUGUAUUUAGUUUAAAAAGUAUUCAAAAACUUAAAUUAAAUUUAAAUUUAAUCAACUUGAUUUUACAAAGGGCAUAAAAAUUAAUAGUGAAAAGAUAAACAAAUACAUUGGACGAAAUAUGAGAUAUGUUUCGCAUGCAAAACAUAAGGCUUUGUUUGAAUUGUAUUUUUCUAAAUUUUUUGUAAGAAAAUUAAUGUAACGAUUUGAUAUAUGUAUGAUAAAACGAUAAUUGAAAAAUGUGUUGACGAGAAACGUCGCUAUUUUUCUUGAAAAAUUGGUUUCCAAACAAAGCCUAAAUUUCAAGGUUUGCUGGGACCCCCACCCCGCAUAAGUGAUUUUGCCGGUACUUUUUGCUAAACCUGAGAAUACAACGCUGAAGCAUCCUGUACAAGAAUUACCACAAACGGAGCAUAAAGAUGGCGACGGGGUUAAGACUUGUAACGGAGAGAGUCGGCGACGGCGCCGGACAACCAGUCCUCGACACCGACAACGGGGAGGAACAAGUGCACGUCCAGUCUGGCGUCUCGAUCGUCAUCGGAAACCGCCCGCCUGAAUCCCCUGGAACUCUCUACAUCUCCACCAAGUAACUAAUCAUUCCGUCCUUUCCCUAAUUCUCUUCUUCACAUAUAUCUUCAGCUUAUGGAAAUGCGAAUGAACUGUUUAAAAAUUGUAUAGGCAAGUGGUGUGGUUAAGUGAUACUGACAGAGGCAGGGGUUAUGCGGUGGGUUUCUUAGCGGUGUCGCUUCACGCCGUUUCUCGAGACCCAGAAGCUUAUCCAUCUCCUUGUAUUUACACUCAGGUAGAGACAUCCUUUUGUUGAAGCUAUUUCUAACGACUCCAUUAUCUUUUUUUAUUUUUGUUGAUACUGUUAGGGUUUAAGGUUUGAGCUUGUUAGGGCUUAUAACUAUUUAUUCCUGAUUCAAUUAAAGAACCAGACUAGGAGUUCGUGAAUGGUGCUGUAAAACUUCUUUGUUGAUACGGCUGCUUGUUAGAUUAUUAAUUCACGUUCAUGUAAAAACCCUGUAAAAUAGAAGUUUGUUUUUGGAAGCGAGAUUUGGCGAUGUGCUUAGUGAGAUUGAGUCUGGGGCAGUACUGAUGGUAUUUUUGGAGGUUCCGGUUACUUGGCUAACCACUGCUGAGCAUUCAAUCGAGUGCUGAUCCAUUUGAUGUUUGAGUUAAUCGUGAAAUUUAGUAUGGGAGUAAUUAUCUAAACUCUAGAGGUUUGUCCAUCAUAGGCAUCUAAGUCAUAUGUCAAAGAUGCUUUGGGAUAAAGGAUUCUGGUACUACUGAGUUUUCUGGAAUAUUUGCUUUACUUGUGAAUGUCUAUUAAUUUUCUGCACUCAUAAUAAUUCCCCUAUUCGGAUGAUUAUAGGAUAUGAAGUAUACAUUUUUACCUUGAUUCCAGAUUGAGAAUGGUGUUGAGGAGGAUGAAUCAGAGGAUUCUGAUGCUGAGAGCAAUGAGACAUUAGAUUUGUCAAAGGUUACUGAGAUGAGACUAGUGCCAUCAGAUCCUGAUCAAUGUAGGCCAUCUGUUCCUAGUUUUAUGGUUUUAUUUAUGACUUCCGAGUUCUUUGUCCUUUUCCUGUGUAUCUUAUGCUUUUGAUUUUCGUCAUAUUCUGAACAGUGGAUACUCUGUUCGAGAUUUUCUGUGAAUGUGCUGAGCUUAAUCCUGAACCAGUUGAUGGUAAUUAUAAUUAUGAUUGGUAUAUAAUUUUUGUUUCUGUUGAUGCCGUUUUGACUAUUGCUUUUCAAAUAACUAUUGCAUUUUUGUACUAAUGAUGCUUUUUAUAGAGGAUGAAGGAGAGCAUAAUUGGGUAUUCAGUGCAGAUCAACUAGAAACUGGGGGUACAGGUUUGGCUCUAGUCUUUUGUGUUUUCUUGAUAGCCGAUUGUCCUGACUGUUGCUCUGGAUUUCUUUUUCUCUACUCAUUCAUCGCUGCACUACUGCUGUAGAUGUUGAGGAGUCUGAAUAUCCCUUGCAUUCAAUUGGUUGUUCUAAUGGGGAUCCUGACUUAGCGCAUACAGUGCUUCAGGUAUCUCUAGUGAUUUUCUUCCUACCUUUAACUUACAUGUUAAUGAAUAGCCGUUACUUUUACAAUUUAACCUAGAAGCUGGUCAAUGGUAUUUCUGCUGUCAAGUCUAAUGAUGUGCAUGUACCUUUCCCAAAAAUUUAUCCCAUUUCUGUUUUCACUAUUGAAUUAAGUAUAGACCAAAUUUUCCUAGGCUCAAUGGAACAGGGGAGGUUUAGAUGGGGAACUUGUGUAAAUACUACAAGGACGCAAAAAACCAGGAUGCACAGGACUCACAAUGGAUUCCUUGCCAAAUUUGAGUUAGGGGUAGUCACAAGUAAAAUUUCUGAUUGUUCUAUGAGGUCAUUUCCAACUUCUCAUAGGCUGGUUGGCACAGAGGAAGUUUAGAUAGGGAAGUAGUGUAAAUACUGUAAAGACUCAACUGAGCAAGCUGCCUAAGAUACAUGAUGGAUUCCAUGCAAAUUUGAGUUAGAGGUAUCCACAGAUAAAAUUUGUGAUUAUUCCAGAUGGUCAUCCUUUCCAUUUUUUUGGAGCCUUGUGUGACAUUAUGCUUCCUUUGUGGUGGGACAUUGUGUUUUUUUUUUGGAGGGUUUUUUUUUUGGGGGGGGGGGGGGGCGCAGGGAGACCUUGGGGGUUGUGAGGUUACUUAGUCGGCCAUUUCAUCCUCUCAUAGAUCGUUUAAAUGUCAACUCUUUCCCUUUAAAAGUUCAAUUCUUACAAAACUGUUUUGUCAAUUUUUUUUGCAGCUUCAAAUAAAUGAUCAGCGGUUUGAGGAUGCAGAAGAGAUGGAGAGUGAUAAUAACAAAGGCCAUAACUGAGCUCUCAUUGGCUUCUUUGUUUUAUGUUGAAAUCUGUUAUUUACAUCUGCAACCUUAUUUCUGUUCAAAGAUGCGUGGAUAGUGUUGUAUACUGCUUAAGUAGGGACAAUUGGGCCUUCGGGAUUUUCAAGAUGACUGACUUUGAGAUCUUAAUCUCAUGCAUUUGUUUGUGGUUUUACCUAUGGCUUCCCAACUUAAGAUGUAUCUCUAGUUGAACUGUAAUUUCACCCUGAACUUCUGUUUGCAUUUUUCCGACUAAGUGGUGAAUUCUUCAUCAUGUUAUUCGACUAGAUACUACCGUCAAGGAGAAGCUUGAUUCCCAGAAAAGUACAACCACGCAUAAAUUGUGGACUAUCCCGUAUUUUUUUCUAUGUGGAAUCUGCUGAAUCAUAAUCUGGUUUUCCAUUUUUUUCUAUACAUAGAGGCUAAACCUUAUGGGAUUAUGAAAUCUGAAACAAGAAUUGCAUCCGAAUGGUUGUCAUUGAGUGACUUGAGAUUUUAAAAUGGUUUUCUGAAAACAACGUAAACUCUGAAUCCAAUCUAAUAAUUGAAAGCUAUUGUAAAACUGAGUUGAGAAUUUGCAAAUUUUCUACCUAGUGUCUUAGGGUGUGUUUGAUAAAAUUGAAAUUUGAAAACUGAAAUUUGAAAUUUAAAAUCUAAAAUUUGAAUCAAUUUAAUUAUUAAAUUGUUAAGUAUUAAAUUUAAUGCAUUUUGGUUUAUUUAUAUUUGGUGAUAAGUGAAUAGUUUAUCACUUAUUUUUUAAAGUAAGUUUUGUCUAGAAAAUUUAGUAUUAUUUAAUUAAUUUAGAUGUUUAAUUUUUUAUUAUCAAACUCGUUUGAAUAUAUUAAAAUUUGAAUUCAUUAAAUUUAAGUGCUGAAUUGGAUUAUAAAAUAGAGUUUUAGCUGAAUUCUAUAAGAUAAAUGCCCUAUUUGGCAAGUGAGUUUUUGAAUGUUUGUUUAAAAUUUUAUUAUAAUUUACUGUAGAAAUUGUAGAAAAAUUUUUUGAAGUGUGUAAAUGUUUGAAUAUUUUGAAAUAUAUAGUUUAAAAAUUUUGAAAAAUUUUUUGAUGUUACUAUAGUUAAAAUUAUUAAAAAAACUUAUAGCAGACAAACUUUGCCCGAAACUUAUUUGUUAAACAAGGCUAAAAUAAAGAUUUUGUUAAAUUAAUGGACGAAAAAAAGAAGGUUCAACGCAUUUCCUUACUAGUUACUAAUCCAGCUAGUUGCUCCUUUCUUUUAUUUUGUCCUUUUUGGUGCUCUCGUGGGGACUAAUUUCUCAAAACAUAUUAAAAAAAAAACAAUCCGUAGCUCUGACAGGGUUCUCAAACUAUACUUGUCGUACUGAUUGUGUACGACAGCGGCUCUAAUUUUUUUCUUUUUAAUUUGCCUGUCCCCUACUGUGCCCAGUUAGCACGGUAGGGAGACAGGCGGUCAAAAAAAAAAAAAAAAAAAAGCCAAGCCUGUGGUAGUUGCAAACUUGCAAUACGUUGCGUUGUUAUGCAGUUAGUUGCUGUAACUACUAGUGCGGGCUAAUUUCUUAGAAUAUAUGUAAAAAAAAAAAACAUCGCAUAAAUAUAUCUCUGACAGCGGGGAUUUCUCAUUCUAUACCUGAGCACGGCAGCAAGAAUGAAUUUUGCAGACCUGUCUGACAAAUGCUGAAUUUCUGGUGUCAACCGUGUGCACGGCUGCCUGACAGCAGAAAUUCAACAGGUGUCAAGGAGUGUCAGCAGCAGCCGUGCUGACUGCCGUGCACAGUCAGCACGGCUACGGCUGGCACUGCCUGACGACUCCAGCCCCUGUCGGGUGACUUUGGGAAAGCUUUUAAACGUAUUUUGAUUUUAUAGCAUGGCAUGGAGAAAGAGCUCUUUUAUAGCAACAGGUGGCUGCUACUCGUGCAAGUCAAAAGUGUGUAAUGAAGAUGAGGAUGGAUUUACAGUAAAGAGUAGAUCCAUCUUUCCCAUGCGGAAUGCAUACCGGUGUUACGGAAGGCUAUUUUCAUUUUUCAUUUAAAAAAUAAAUCAAGAAAGAAAAGGGGAUUAAAUGCUAGGUUUAGACAUCCAAACUUCCCCCCCCCUUCUCCAGACAUCCAAAGGAAGGUUGUUAAAAAAAAAAAAGACUGGAUAGUGAAGAGGUGAUUUCCGUCCUGCUGGAGCAAGUCUUCCGAACUGGAGAAGCGUCUUUAUCCGUGACUGCUCCUAGGACGAGGUCACCUGCUUGGAUUGCCGGAAAGGCUGAAUCCCCCCGUGUAACUCCGAAACUUAAGUUAGUUCGCUUUGAAAGAAGCAAUAAGGUAGAAGAUGAAUUUAGUAAAGUUUUACCAGAAAUUGGUCAUCCCCUUCCUCAAUGGAGGUGUUGGGUAUUUAUAGGGUACAAUUGGGAGAGAGGAACUGUCAACACAGGUUCUCAGAGAUUCGACAAGGACAUCGUAUCAGGUUGAUCUGACUGGUCAGUGUGGGAAGCUGCAUAAGGGCAGUGGUCAGAUACGGACGGCAGGUGUCAGAGCAGCUUUUUAUCAUUCCAAUGACCUGUGUCAGACGCCCUUUCCCGCCUUCAGUAGUUGUUUAUUAUUCUGGUGUCACCUCGGCGUAUGACCCGAAGUUCUUAGUCGAAGUGGUAAAAUAGAUUGCAUUCGUGUUGGUAUUCAUCGUGCUGAUGUGGGGCUUCAGGAGACCGCACAGGAUAGGGCCUCGGACUGGCCGAGCCGAAAUGGCCACCCUCACUAAGCCCCCCAAGCUUCGAGAAGAGCGAGGUCAUGGUUUCCCGAGAUCGUCACUUCCCGAGGCUAACGAGCGUGUAGAGCACGGAACAUAGCGGGGACACGUCACGACUGUGCAGAUGGGACUAGGAGAGAGGUGAAAACGGGGGUUAUUAGCUUUAACGUCGGAUCAGUAAGAUCGAGUGUCAGAUGAACAGCACCUUCAUUAAUGAGGAGAGAGAGAGAGAGGAAGCUUUAGGGAAUCCCAAAGGUCGCGCCUCUUCGAUUUUCCCUUGUUACCUAUAAAUAGGGGCCUCUUUUCACCGUUUCAUUUUUUAUCAAAAUUUGAAAUCACUUCGGCGAUCCUACUAGACCACAUCUUCUUCUUCAGUAAUUCCUCCAACCCACAUCUUCUAAGUUCACUUCUUUUCCUGUACUAAUGGCUAGAACAGCUCGUACACACAAAGAAACAGUAAGACCCGACUUCACCGAGACAGAGAGGCCCGACCCAUCCGAAGAGAGAACAGCGACCGAAGUCGAGGAAGGAUGUGCCGAGGCGUCUCACUGAGCCGAGGGUUUACAUCAGGCAGAGACGUCUCAUCGAGCCAGGACUCCGGAGGAACAGCCCGAGGAAAUCGAUGUCGAACCCGAGGUCCUGUACGAUGACGACCUCGAGAAUGAGGUCCCGAGGGACGAGAGUGUUCAAGAACCUUCCACUCCUUCGAACGUGGCAACGCUCAACUACGGCCAGAUGCUGAGUUUCAGCAGUACCAUGGGGCAAGCCUCCGUAGCCGAGGUGGUCCGUAAGUACCCCUGGAGGAAGGAUUACAGCAUUUAUGUACCCCAACCACAACAGUCAGCCGCCCUGCCACCGAAGGAUAGGGUGGCUGUCUAUGUAGACCAACUGGAGGCCGGGCUCAGAGUGCCAACAACGAGAUUUCUUCGUGACUGCCUUAGAUAUUGGGGGGUGAGAAUCACUCAACUCACCCCUAACGCGAUUCGCGUUCUUGUCGGCUUCCGGUUGCUCUGCCGACAUCAGAAGAUAUAGUCUACAAUCAACCUCUUCCGCCACUGUUACUCGCUUAAGAACAGCGGGAGUGAGAAAGGCUGGUUCUACUUCGAAAUUAAGGUUCCGAAUUUGGUGUAUGAUGCCCCGAGCUCAAUAAAGGAGUGGAAAAUGAACUUCAUUUUCGUCCCGGCCGAGGACUUUCCUCGGAGGUUCUGGUGGAGGCCUCCUACCUCGGUAAAAGAAACCUCCCCGGGCAAGUUGGAGGAACACAACCUCAAGAAGCUACUGGGGUCGGGUCUCAAGAUUAAUUGUUGGGACUUCCCCGAGAGGGUGCUCGUGGAAGGCGGGUUCAGUCGAGCCUUAAUCAGCUCGGAUCAUUCCAUCUUAUUCUCUUCUAAGCUCCAGAGACCUUGUACUUUUCCAUUUCCCUCCUUUGUUUAUCCUUCUUGAAUUCUAACUAACUUUGUUUCAUUCUUUGCAGUGGUGAAGGUUUCUGACCUGAUCACUUCGGGAGGGGCCGAAGUGGUGAAGAGGGCACCUAAGAAACGCAAGGAUACCGCUGAGCCCUCCACCAGACCGGCUAAGAAAAUCACCACGGCAACGGGCGACCGGGGAGCCCGCCGUAGUGAUCAUAGGCGAGGGCUCACACACCUCGGGCGCGUGAGGGAAGUCCAAAUCUUCUGUCAUUCCUGUGGGAGUUCCUUCCCGUGGAGUGACUAUAGCCUCUCCACCUCGGGGUCGAGCGGCAGCCAUCACCCCGGAGAACCCCGUCACGGGGUCUUCAUUGUUCAAUCUCCACCAUGUGUCUUCUGUAGCGGCCGGGGAGGACAAGAGGCACUCCUGCGCACAGUACUGUCCGGAGUGGGAUAUAAACGUAAGCGAUCGAUGUAAAGGUCCCCGAGUCGCACACGAGCUCCUGGUGCAUUCGGUCCUACCCCGGGACAAUACUUACACCAGGAAACUCUCUCCUGCCGAGCUGAUGUAGAGCGCCUCGGUUUCCUGGGUUUCAACCAUUGCGUUCUUGGCUGAAAUGCAUCAACGCUUCGGGCACUUCAUACAGACGUAUGAAUCACCUGCUGAGCUCCAGAAGAAGAUCGCCGAUCUGGAAGAGAGGCUGAGGACCACUGAGCUGGAGCGAGACAAGGCUGAGCUUGCGAAGAAGAAGGCCGAAAUCGCAAACAACUCCCUGAUCACUGCCCUCGACGAGGAGAGAGGAAGACGAGCUCAAGAAGAACAGUCGGCCAAGGAAGCUAUAGACAAGGCCGGGUCACUGCUGUAGAGGCCUUCCGGAAAUCAGAGGCUUUCACCCACGACCUCGGCGAGCUUACCCUACCGAGCUACAUGUUCGGCUACACGUCGACUGUCCACGAUGCGACGACCUUUCUCUCUUCUGAGCAGCUGGAGUCCCUUCAGAACGCUCCUCAUUACAACGAAAAUGCCAAGGAAUUGUGCGACCGCAUGGCCGAGGGCAUCCAGGCUGAAAAGGACCUAGACGAGGUCCGAACUGAGUUCAACAAGUGGCUCCAGGAGUUCGAAUUAGAUGGCGAGGGCAGUAAAGGGAACCAGGCCGGCGGGGGAGCUGAAGGGCAACAAGACGCCGAGGCGGAAUGUGAGACCAUGGGAGGUCAGCAAGGCGCCGAGGCGGGGGGUGAAACCAUGGGAGAUCAAGACCUUGGAGCAGGUAGUGCUUAGAAGCACUUGCUUUGUAAUAGAGGGCCGAGGUCGUAGAUAACCUCGGCCUUUUACCUUUCGCACUUCAAUAAAGUUGACUUUUUGUUCUAGCACAUUUUUGCCUUCUUUUUGAUUGAGUUCAGUUUUCUUCUCUUGACUACUGCUUUGUCCCCUUAUUUUUCACUUGUAAUGGAAUGAGACUAAGUGAGAAAUAACUUAAAACUUAAGAUUGAAAGUACGUACCCUUCAAGGGUAAUACAAUUUGAGAUUUUCGGCAUGCCAAAUUCGGGGCACCCGAGACCCAUCUCGGUAUGCCAAUUUACAAUAUCCAUUUUGGCUGAACUCGACAACACGGUAUGGUCCCUCCCACUUGGGAUUUAAUUUUCCCUGAGGUUCAGCUCGGCUGACUGAGUUCUUCCGGAGAACAAUGUCUCCCGGAUUGAAUCGCAAAUGCUUGACCCGGGUAUUGUAGUAGUCAGCUAAGAUAUUUUUAUAAAUGACGACCUUGGCUGCUGCCAUAUCGCGCUUCUCUUCGGCAAGGUCGAUGUCAACUCGUCGUUCCUCUUCGUUGACCUCGGCAGUGUACGCAGCCAUUCGCGGGUUGGGAGUGAUGAAUUCGGCUGGGACGACAGCCUCGGACCCAUAAGUUAGGGAAAACGGGGUCUCUUGGGUUGCUGAUCUCGGCGUAGUCCGGUAGGACCACAGCACGCUGGGGAGCUCUUCCAUCCAUGACGAUCUAGCCCGGUGGAGCCUGGUCUUGAGGCUAUGAAGGAGAGUUCGGUUAAAGUUUUCAACUUGUCCAUUUGCCUGAGGGUGUCCAAUCGAUGUGAAAUGCUGCUUAAUCCCCAAGUUUUCACACCAUGCAUUGAAAGGAUUAUCCGCGAACUGCCGCCAUUAUCCGAGAUGACCACCCGGGGCAAGGCGAAGCGACAGACCACACUCUUCCAAAAGAAUUUUUGAACAGCAGCCCCGAUGAUGCUUCUCAAAGGCUCGGCCUCAAUCCAUUUGGUGAAAUAGCCCACGGCCACCACCACGUAGGCAUAAUUACCUGGAACCCUGGGGAAUGGGCCGAUGAUAUCAGUUCCCCACUGCUCGAAGGGCCAUGACGAGGUGAUAGGGAUCAUGAGGUUGGUCGGCUGGUGGUACUCAGGGCGUGGUACUGACAAGAAGGGCAGCUAACGACCAUGACCUGGGCAUCUACCCUCAUGAUGGGCCAGAAAUACCCAAGUAAUAAGGCUUUCUUAACGAGCAUGCUGUUAGGACUGUCAACGGUCCGGGUCUGGACCUGGACCCGGCCCGGACCCGCCAAUAAUUGCCGGGUACGGGUAGGCAUAUAGUUCCGGAACCCGGACCCGGACCCGUUUAACCUAAUAGAUUUGCGGGUAGGAUACGGAAUAUGCCGUUCCGACCCGUAUAGGACCCGAACCCGAACCCGUUUUUUAAUUAAUUAAUAAUUAAAAAUAUAUACCCAAUUUAGUUCAACCCUAAAUCCCUAAUAGUCUAAUACCCACGUAACCCACCGCCGCCGCACUCUCUUUUCCUUUGCUCCUUACCCAGCCCCAGCGACCAUUUUUCUCCUCUGCCUCCCAACUCCUGAGUCGCGCCUCCACCACCACCACUCACCAGAUCUGCAAUUUUUCAGGAAAUUGACUGAAGUUUGAGUCUAACCGAAAAGGAGUUCCUGGAGUUUGAGUCUUCGCCUCCUCGCCGUCUUCAGUCUUCCUGGAGUUCCUGCUCGGCUGCCGCCGCUGCUUUUGCCGACUGCUCGGCUUCUCAGUCAACUACUCCAGUCUUUGGCGUCUUCGGUCUUCCUGCUUGGCUGCUCUUGCGGACUUGCCGAUUUGCCGUCGGUGCUCAGCACGAAGUUCUAUCUUAACAAGUAAACUUGAUCCCUUCGGCCCUCUGUUUAUAUGUAUCAUCAAGAAUAAAAGCUGGCAAUCUUCAAUUUGGCAAAGCUAUUGUCUUAGACUUGGAGAAGAGAGCACUUUUUAAAUAAUUUCUGCGCCCUUUAUUUUGCUGAUUUGCAAUUUAUUGGCAGUCAUUAUCAAGCCCACCACAAGAUUAGUAACACAAUUGUAUUGAUCAAGCUUUCUUCUUCACUCUUUGCAUCAACAUUUACCCAAAAAAUGGUGCCAUUAAUUUCUUUUUCGGCCCUCUGUAUAUAUGUCUCAUCAAUUUCUUUUUUUUUUAAAUUUUGUUAGUAUAUUUCUGAUCUUGCUGUACUUAUUUUUUUGGAUUUUUUGAAAUUUUUAAAUACUACCCAAAAAAUAAGUUGCCAGAUUAUCUUGACGGGAAAAUGUUGGAAUUUAUGGAGGAAAAUAGCGGUGGAAUUUUUAUUAGUUGGGUAGUUUUGUUCUCUGUCUGAUUGGCCGGGUAGACCCGGCCCGGAUUCGGGACCCGUCGGGUACAGGUCCGGUGACAGAUUAGAAGACCCGUCGGGUAUUCGGGUCAAAUCCGGAACUAAUCUAGUAUAACGGGUCCGGGUCCGGAUAUAUACAUUCCGGCCCGGACCCGGCCCGUUGACAGGCCUACAUCCUGUAGCCGACAUGAGCACCACAGAGUUCCUCGUCUAUGUCUUGUCGGAUCCUUUCGCCUUCUUCCGACUUAAUGCACCGCAGCCAGGGGUCGAGGUAAGACAUCUUGUACAAGAGGUCUUGUCGAAAGGUGUACCGAGCUGCUUUACGUUAAAGCUUCCUUAAUUCUAAUCUGUCCUCGGGAAGUUCACCUCGGCUGAGAAAGCGAACUAGCGGCCCCAUCCAAGUGUCCCCAGAGUAAACGAGGUAUACUACUUCUCCUUCGUACCCCGGCUCGGCUAGGACCUUUACGAAAACCGUCUUGUUCAGGUCAGAAAAUGAAAUAGAAGCGAGCCGGGAGAGGGCAUCAGCUCUCCUGUUCUAUGACCGCGGUAUCCUUUGAAUUUCAAAAGACUCAAAGUGUGCCACCAGGUGGAGGACCUUGGAGAGGUAGCGAUGCAUCACCUCCUCCCUGGCCUCGUAUUCGCCUAGUAUUUGACACACAAUGAGUUGAGAGUUACUAUAAACCAAGAUAUGCGCGGCCCCGAACUUACGAGCUAGCUGCAGGCCGGCAAUGACAGCCUCGUAUUCGGCUUCAUUAUUAGAGGCGGCGAAAUCGAAUCUCAAGGCGUAUGAGCACUCCGUUCCCUGGGGGUCUUCGAGGAGUAAGCCUGCUCCACUACCUUCACUAUUGGACGAACCGUCCACAUGCAAAGUCCAGCGUUGAUGUUUGGCGGUGGACGAGGUCGUAAUCUGGGUAGUAGCCGGGAUGGCUUCGUUCGCCGCAUCAAAAAUGAGUUCGGCUAGGAAGUCCACGAGGGCCUGAGUUUUGAUUGCCGUGCGAGGCUCGUAAGAUAAAUCGUACUCCCCCAUCUCGAUGGCCCACUUGGUAAGGCCUCCGGAAGCUUCCGAACGUGAUAGAACUUGUCUGAGGGGCUGGUCAGUUCUCAAACAAACGUGGUGAGCCAAGAAUUAGGGCUUGGGCCGGCGGGCUGCGUGGAUCAAGGCCAGCACGAGCUUCUCUGCCUGAGUAUAUCUGGUCUCCGGACCUCUGAGAACUCGGCUGACGUAGUAGAUCGGAACUUGUACAACUUCUUCCCGGACCAGCACGGCGCUAACAGUCUCGACCGCGACAGACAGGUAUAAAAACAACUUAUCCCCUGGCUGAGGUGAGGUGUGUGUCGAGAGGUGGUGAAGGUACUCCUUCAAUUGCUCGAAGGCCUGCUGACAUUCCUCGGUCCAAGAGAAACUGUCAGCCUUCUUCAACACCUUGAAAAAGGGUAACGCCUUGGAAGCUGAUUGCGAUAGGAAUCGGUUCAGGGCGGCUAACCGCCCUGUUAGCUUCUGCACGUCGCGGACACACCGAGAUGGAGACAUUUCUUGAAUCGCUCUCACCUUAUCCGGAUUUGCUUCGAUGCCUCGCCUCGAGACGAGGUAUCCCAAAAAUUUCCUCAAAGUGACCCCGAAGACACAUUUCUUGAGGUUCAGCAUCAUCCGCGUCUUCCGGAGGACAUCAAAGAACUCUCAGGUCAGAGAGGAAGGAAGAGGUCGUCUGGCUCUUGAGUAAAAUGUCAUCCACGUAGGUUUCGAUAUUUCGUCCGAUCUGGGAUUGAAAGGCUUGGUUGACCAAGCGUUGAUACGUGGCCCCGGCAUUCUUUAGCCCAAAGGGCAUGGUGGUAUAACAAUAUGUUUUUCGGUCAGUGUAGAAGGCCGUCUUUUCUUGAUCUUUCUGACUCAUUCCAAUUUGGUGGAACCCCUUGAAGGCGUCGAGAAAGCAGAGGAUCUCAUAACCCAUUGCCGAAUCCACGAGGGUGUCGACUUUGGGUAAGGGGUAGCAGUCCUUGGGACAGGCCUUGUUGAGGUCGGUGAAGUCGACGCACAUUCUCCAAGCCCCGGUGUCUUUCUUUACCAUAACCGGGUUGGACAAUCAGGUCGGAUACUGGACCUCCCGAAUGAUUUUCGCAGGGAGGAGUUUGUCCACUUCUUCACUAACAGCUCGGCUGCGCUCAGGGCCGAGGUGCCUUCUUUUCUGUUUGACCGGGCGGACUUGGGGGUCGACGUUCAACUCAUGUAUCAUGAGGUGAUGUGGAACUCCUUGAACCUCUUCUGCGGCCCAAGCGAAGACGUCCCGGUAUUCUCUGAGAAGAUCCACCAUACCUCUUUUAAUCGGGCUUGGCAAUCGGGUGCCAACACGAACCGUCUGAUCAGGAUUCGUGGGGUCCAAAGGGAGUUCUUCCACCUCAUCCCCAGUCUCCAGCCUCGGGAUCUUCUCAACUUGUUGAGGAUCAAUGUUAUCUAUCGAGAGAAUAUUUGACCUCUUCUCGAGCCUCGCUCCGGAGGCUGACGUUGAGGCCGCUUGUAGAGUGGCGAGGUAACACUCUCGGGCGGCGCAGACGUCGCUGAUCAUCUCGGCCACCCCCGCAGGAGUAGGAAACUUAAAUCUUAGGUAGUAGGUAGAGUAUACUGCCCGCAAAACAUUAAGCGUAGGCCGACCUAAGAGUAGAUUGUACAGAGAGUCGGCCUUAACCAUUACGAAAUUGACGGGGAUAGUCCUGCAGCAGGGGUGGCGCCCUACGGUCACUGUCAGAGUCACCAUCCCCUCAUGAUGCAUAAUGUAUCCCCCGAACCCUACGAGAUGAGUUCUCACCGGGGUCAUGUGCCCCCUUGCCAGUUUAAGGCUCUCAAAGGUGCGGAGAUACAUGACAUCCAUCGAACUCCCUGGGUCGAUGUAGACCUUCUUCACAAUGUAGUUGUUGGUGAGCACCUCAAUCACCAAAACUUCAUGACUACUAGAAGCAGUUGGAACAGGAUCGCUGGGCCCGUAGGAAAUCACCUCGAAUAGGCGGACGCUAGACUCGGCCUGAUCCGGGUUAGCUUGCCUGUAAGUACUCUUUCGGGAGUUUUGACUAUCCCCUCCCGUCGGAUCUCCAGCAAUGGUGUUGAUGAUUCCGGCAAUGUUGGGCCCAUAUCCUAACCCUUGACCCGAAGACCCAUCUCGGGGAGGCCUCUUUGUCUCCCUAGGAUCCUCAGGGGGUCUGCAGCUGCUUCUCGAAAUUUGUCUUUUAUCCCGACGUUGGUCACCCUGUUUGUCACGUCGAUUCUCGUCGCGCGGAUGACCUCCACUUCGGCGGAUGAACUGCUUGGGGUGUCCUUACCUGAUGAGGUUCUCGAUCUCCCUUUUGAGAUCAUUGCAGUCCUCAGUCUCGUGCCCUAUAUCUUGAUGAUAUAGGCAGUAGAGGUUUGAGUUCCUCUUAUCCCUGCUGUCGGACAUCUUAGGAGGUGCCCUCUCGAGGUUGCUCUGUUCCAUCACGGACAACACCCGGGAUCUGGUGGUGUUCAAAGGAGUCAGCUCAGACUCAGGGAUGGAUGUCUUCCCUUUGGAAAUCCUAUCGAACACGCUGCGGCGGUCUCAGUUGGGACUUUGGAAGCCACUCCCCGUCCCUGCUUCACUUCGGCCAACAUCUUUCCCCUUUCGAGGGUCAGCCCUUGGGUGGGUGGCUUGGACCUCCUUCUUCAUGCGGUUGAGGUCUUCAGCUUGUAUGCCCUUCUCAACCUUUAACCACAACUUGUGGAGAGUGCAAGGAUAUUUUUUGUGAAUCCCCAUGUUGAACACUCCGAAGACGAGCCCAUGGGUAAAAGCGGCAAUGGUAACCUGCUCAUUGGGAUCAGGUAUUUGCACGCUUUCUUCAUGGAACCUCUGAACGUACGACCGAAGUGACUUUCUCGGGUUCUGCUGCAUGUUCAGCAGGUAAGUCGAGGUUCGGGUUGUAAGUCGGGAGGAGAUGAACCGAUGGAGAAAUCUCUUCACUAAUUCCCCCAGGGUUGAGAUGCUCCUAGGUUCUAAUCCCCAGAAUCAUUUUCGAGCUGUUCCCUGGAGAAACACUGGAAAAGCCCGGCAUAUGACAGGGUCAGGGAUGCAGUAUAAGCGGAAGGCCGAGAUGAAGGCGUGAAUGUGAUCCUCGGGAUCACCUCGGCCGUCAUAAAACGGUAUCGCGGGGAGCUUGAAGUUUGGAGGAAGCCUUUCCUCAUUAAUGUCAUCAGUAAAAGGUGGGGCCCUCAUAUAAUUCACCUCGGGUAUUCCCAGAGGCCGAGAUUCUUCCUCAGGUCGUCAUCUCAGGAGACCUCGGGAAAAGGCCUUAGUCAGGGAGGCUACCUUGGAGGCGGCUUUGGAGAACGCUCGUUUCGAUGCACUCCGGCUUAGGCGCCUCCCAUCAGACUCCUUUUCAGAUGAACCUUCAGGAGAUCCAUCUGACUUCCUUUUAGAGGACUCGGCCUUCUGCUCGCCUUGCCUCUUUAAAUAUCUCCCCAACUCCUCAAAGAUGUUGGGGUUCUCGGUUACAAAUUCAGCCAUACGAGUUAGGACCUCUUCGUUGGCGGGCUGAGUCCUUGGGGACUCCUGCCCUUCAGAAAUAUCUUUCUGGUGAGCUGCAUUGCUUUGCUCAGCACCUAUAGUGAGAGCUUUUCUACUCUUAGAACGCGUAGGCUUCAUACUCUGAUGUCUUCGCGUUCCCAUAGACGACGCCAAUUGAAGAGGUGAUUUCCGUCCUGCUGGAGCGAGUCUUCCGAACUGGAGAAGCGUCUUUAUCCGUGACUGCUCCUAGGACGAGGUCACCUGUUUGGAUUGCCGGAGGGGCUGAAUCCCCCGGUGUAGCUCUGAAACUUAAGUUAGUUCGGUUUGAAAAAAGCAAUAAGGUAGAAGAUGAACUUAGUAAAGUUUUACCAGAAAUUGGUCAUCCCCUUCCUCAAUGGAGGUGUUGGGUAUUUAUAGGGUACAAUUGGGAGAGAGGAACUGUCAACACAGGUCCUCAGAGAUUCGACAAGGACAUCGUAUCAGGUUGAUCUGACUGGUCAGUGUGGGAAGCUGCAUAAGGGCAGUGGUCAGAUACGGACAGCAGGUGUCAGAGCAGCUUUUUAUCAUUCCAAUGACCUGUGUCAGACGCCCUUUCCCGCCUUCAGUAGUUGUUUAUUAUUCUGGUGUCACCUCGGCGUAUGACCCGAAGUUCUUAGCCGAAGUGGUAAAAUAGGUUGCAUUCGUGUUGGUAUUCAUCGUGCCGAUGUGGGGCUUCAGGAGACCGCACAGGAUAAGGCCUCGAACUGGUCGAGCCGAAAUGGCCACCCUCAGAUAGAUACUGAGGAAACAGCAGAAAGAGUAACAACUGAGUUGGAACAAAUCACAAAGCGAAUGCUAUAUUUUAAAUUUCCAAACUGAAAACCUGCCUUACAAGGUGCUUGGAUUCUCAAUGUCAAAGUAACGAUAACCUGCUGCUCGACUUAGUAAUGUAAUUUGUAACCGAGAAGAAGAUUUUCCUGUCAUAAAGCUUAAGUUCUUGGAGCUUUGAACUAGAAGAGCUUGUUUGGCCGUUUUGUACCGCUUCUCAUCAUUGUGCAGAAAUCUUCAUAAUUGAUUCUUCCAUCCUGGAAUAUUGACGGCAUAAAAAAUGGAGUUACAUAGUGAGCGGACAAGCAUGAUCAAAAGGUGACAAGUUUUUAGACACGUGCAACAAAGGAAGAAUAAUGCUCACAUUAUCUGUAUCCACUUCAGAUAUUAUCUCCUUUAUAGUAGCUGGGUCACCUAUUCCAUCAUCUUCAUUACACACUUUUGACUUGCACGAGUGGCAGCCACCUUUUGCUAUAAAAGAGCUCUUCUUUCAUGCCAUGCUAUAAAACUAAGAUACGUUUAAAAGCUUUUUUUUUUCCCAAAGUCAUCCGACAGGGGCUGGAGUCAUCAGGAAGUGCCAGCCACAGGAAUAAUGCUCACAUUAUCUGUAUCCACUUCAGAUAUUAUCUCCUUUAUAAUGGUUGGGUCACCUAUUCUAUCAUCUUCAUUACACACUUUUGACUUGCACGAGUGGCAGCCACCUUUUGCUAUAAAAGAGCUCUUCUUCCAUGCCAUGCUAUAAAACCAAAAUACGUUUAAAAGCUUUUUUUUUUUCCCAAAGUCAUUCGACAGGGGAUGGAGUCGUCAGGGAGUGCCAGCUGUAGUCGUGCUCUCCAGCCCCUGUCGGAUGCACAACUGCUAACUGUGUCAGGCAGCCAUGCACAAUCAGCACGGCUGCAACUGACACCAGAAAUUCAGCAGUUGUCAGACAGGUCUGCAAAAUUCAUUCUUGCUAUCGUGUUGACUCAGCACGGCAGGUAUAGAAUCAAAAAUUCCCGCUGUCAGAGAUACAUUUAUGUGAUUUUUUUUUUUACAUGUAUUCUAAGAAAUUAGCCACUGGUGCGCCUAGUGGGGUUACAGGAGGAGAGCAAGAAAGACUUUGCAUUAUUCUUUUACUGGUGAUUAAUUCCUACACAUUUAUAUGUCUUCUCUUAAUUAGCUUGCAAUUUUUUCAGGGAUAUCUAUAAUAGUAUUGGGUCUGUUUGGAUUCAGCAUUUUUUGAAAAAUAAUUUUUUCAUUUACAAUGCUAUAGUAAUACACAAACAAAAAUAACUCCAAAAAUAUUAUAUCCAAACCAUAUAUAAAAAAUAACUCCAAAUAUAUAAAAAAAUAUAUAAAUUUAUAUAUAAAUAUUAUAUUUUGUUUAAAAUAUAUUUUUAUAUAUUUCUAAAUAUAUUUACAUAUAUAUAUUUAUGUAAAUAUAAAUAUAUUUAUUUGAGAAAAAUAAAAUUAAUAAAAUCAUACAAGUUUAUUUAUAAAUAUCAUACAAGUUUAUAUUUAUUUUUAUAUAUUUAUAUACAUAUAUACAUAUAUUUAUUUUAAUUUUGUUUUAUAAUAUGUAUAUUUCAAUUAUGUAUAUUAUAUAUAUUAUAUUAAUAUUAAUAUGUAUAUUUAAAUUAUAUAUUUUUUAUAUAUUAUAUCAAUUGAAAUAAAUAUAUAUUUUUAUAUAUAAAUAUAAAUAUUUUGUUUAAAAUACUUUGUCUGCUUAAAGGACAGGGUUCCAGACUUCCAUUUCCUCCCUCCAUUCAUGUCUGCCAGAAUCUUGUUGAUUUUAUUGACCAAAUCAACCUCUCAAAAAAAGUGCAUGUGAUGUGAUUAAGUGCCAUUCUUGUAUAGACCCCUUCUUAGUCUCAUGGAUUAGCAAUAUGUUGCUGGGAAGUUGACCUCAGAAUAUCCAAUUCUUCAAUCAAUUUUAAACAAAUGUUUUUGGUGGCUUUGAAAUGGUCUAAGAGGCCGAGAAAGCCAGUAGACUCACUAAUAGUGCAGCUGCAGGCUUGCAGCUCAUGCCAUCAUGAUUGAAACAAUUGGUGGAGCGGCUGCAAAUUUUUUAGAAGAUGUCAGCCGCUGCCCUGCACACUCAGUAUAGUAGCGGCUGACAUUUUCUGAGCCUCACUAAAAUUUUUGCAGCGGCUGAUUGACAAUUAUCAGAUUGGGAAUGGAAAAUUUAUUUUGGUGCCCUGAGUAGCUUGAGAAACACUCCAUAUCGAAGCUUCAUUUGGCGGAUAUAUUUUUUAUACGCAUAUUCUGAGAAAUUAGCCUUUCAUAGGAAGCUUAAUGAAGUAUACAAGACAAUAAAUUAACCCAUUUAUAAGUUUUUUUUUUGUAUUGCUUUCAUUUCAUUCACCAAAUAUUUUGGAAACGAAAGGAAAAAAUAGAUUAUGUUCUGUUACAUUUUAUCUAUAACUUAAUAAAAUCUAAUUAUAAACAUACUUUAAUACUUUACCCUCUUUUGUGUAUUUUUAUAUUCAUCUUGUUAUUUUUAUGAAGAAUUUAUGAAAUAAUAAAUUUAAAUAGGAAUUUUAAUCUUUUUUUAAGAGAAAGAAAUUACAAGAACUACUAAAAUAUUAAAAAAGAAUAUUAAAAUGUUAACAAUUAUCAUUAUCAAAUUUAAUAUUCAAAAUUUUUAAUUUUAUAUAUUCAAAAAUAUAUUAUUAAUUAAGUACAAGUGGCUCAAUUGUUUCUCUCCAUAUAAAUACGUAACAUUUCCUAAGUUACAGGAUAGUAAAGUCAUUUGAUCAUUCAUGAGGUAAGUAUUGGGUUCCAAAUUGUUUAUAAGGGAGGUAAGUGUUAUUUUUAAAAUGUCAGAGGAGGAUAUGAAAUUGUUAGAAACCUCAAGGAGGUUUCUGAAAUCAUCCUUAUAUAAAAUCCACCCACUCUGAAAACGCGGACCCCCUUAAAAACCCUAGAGUUUUGCUUCCCACAAAGGAAGGAAACAGAGCCCAGCGUCGCUGCAACACCAUUCUCUCGGCCUCCUCUUCAUCGGGUAUUCCCUUUAUCUCUCCUUCUCUUCAGAUAUUAGAGGAUGCUUUGUUUGGCGGUAUAUGUGUUAAUUUUUUGCCGACUUAUCGAGUAUAGUUCUAGGGAAGUGCUCGGUUUAUUCAUUUCAACAAUUUUGAUUUGCUUUUUGGGGCUUGAAAAAGGUCAGCAGCAGCAAACAGGGUUAUUGAAAAAAUGGCAUACCAAGCAGUGAAGCCGGCAAAGGUUGGUAUGGAGGAGCCUCAGGAGCAGGUUCAUAAGAUUAGGAUCACACUUUCCUCCAAAAACGUCAAGAACCUCGAGAAAGGUUAAUUUUUUUCUUCUUCUUUUAAUUAAAACCCUCUAGCCUAUUUUAACAAACCCUGGGGUUCAUAAGAACAUCCGGUUUUAUCUUAUAUGUAACCUGUUCUAAUUGUGCCGAUUUAUCUACAUUCCUGUAUCUCAAUUUUUUUUUUCUUUUUGGGUAUUGUUGGGAUAUAUAUUUGCGUAGUUUGUGCUGAUCUGGUUCGUGGGGCCAAGGAUAAGCGACUCAGGGUGAAGGGACCUGUAAGAAUGCCCACCAAGGUUCUUCACAUCACUACUAGGAAGUCUCCUUGCGGUGAAGGUAACUUGAUUUCUGCUUAUUUAUUUGUGCCAUUUGAAUGAAUAUGUGAUGUGUAACGCUUCGAAUCCAGGGAAAAAAUAGGAAAAAUGCUGUUUUAUGGCAUUUGAGUAUUGUAGACCAAAUAUUUGUUGACGUUGAUGUUAGGAUUAAUAACCUUAUAGUAUUUGAAGUUUAAUUGUAAUUGUUGUUGCUGAUUUUUAUUUUCUUGUUACAUUUGUUGAACUGUGGACGAUUGGUAAAUGUGUUUUUGUUUAAAUGUCAUUAGUAUAUUGUCAAUUUGAAGGACACGGUAUUGAAUAUGGGAAUGAAAUAUUGGCUGUUAAGCUUUGGAUUCUGAAGCAAAUUUUGGACUUUUUUUCAUCUUGAAAAGCGACCAGAGGAGUUGUGAUUUUUAGCUGCAAUAUAAUUGUACUUGGAAACUGAGACAGGGAGCCUUGAACUUUUUUAUUUGUUCUGUUAUGUUUUAGGAACAAAUAACAAGAACUUUUCUCUGAUGUUAUUAGUCUUUGGUUUUAGUUGGUCAGAAUCAUGUUGCAUUAUAUUAGAACCCAUUUGGCCAUUUCUGUUGCUUCCAGUCAUUUUUUGGAUUGGGAUUUUUCCUUGGAUUUUAAUUUUGUAUCAUUGUUGUACUGAUUCAAGGAGAUUGGGGAAUUAGUUUAUAUUAUUUUUAUGUCCUUGACGUAGAAGAUUAUAAUGCAUGCAUUUUUCCGUUUCAUAUUUGUUCCCUUUUUUUUUUUGGAGGAGACAGGGAAGGGUUGGGACAACGUUCUAAAUUGCUCAAGUGUUUUCUUAUUGUUGCUAAUGUUGAGCAGUCUAUGCCUUUGUGAAAUUUAACAAGAUCCCUUGUGCCCAUGAUUAGGGAUGGCAACGGGGUGGGGUUGGGGCGGGGGACCCCUCCCCCAUCCCCCGCCCCGCCUCCCCCGCGGAUGCUCCUGCGGAGCUAAUAAAAAUUUGUUAUAUAAAUUAUGGUUAAAUUUUAGCAAAUAAUCAAGUUCUAAAAUAUCAACACAUCAUCAAAUUAUUAUUCAUUGUAAUUUUACAAUUGAAACUUAUAAAAACAAUAAAAUAAAAAUUAUUUGAAUACAAUUUAACAUGAUGAAAUAAAUAUAACUAAAGUAGUCAAGUUUUUACUUUUGGCACAAAUACAAUCACUAAUUCAUUAUUGUGCUUGUGCUUUUUUUAAGAAAAAAAUGUUAUUAUAUUAAGUGUAAUUAGGGAUUUAGCAUAAAUGUAUUAGUAAAUUUAGUAUAACCAAUUAAUAAUUUGUAUUAGUACAUAUAUAAUUAUUAGUAUAAUUAAUAAUAUCAAUUAUAUUAUAUAUAACUAAUAAUAUAUAUCAAUUAUAGACAUUAUAUAAUACAUAUAACUAAUAAUAUCAUUAUUAUAAGUUUGUAACUAAUUAAAUUAUAUAUUAUAUAUAUAAUUAUAUACAUAUAUAUUUUAUAUAUUUAUUUUUUUAAAGCGGGUGGCGAGGCGGGGAUGGGGCGGAGGUACACUCCCCUGGCCCCUGCCCCAACCCCCUCCCCAUUAGCCUCCUGCGGGGCGGGUGCCCGCGGUCAUUCACCCCCAUUGCCAUCCUUACCCAUGAUGUGUUUUUGAGGAUCGUUCUAAAUUGCUCAAGUGUGUUUUUAUUGUUACUAAUGUUGAGCAGUCUGUGCCUUUGUUAAAUUUAACAAGAUCCCUUGUGCCUAUGAUGGGCUUUUGAGGAUAUGAAUCGCUGACCCAUUUUUUUUGAAUAUGUGUUUAUUGAACACUCGUUUUCUUGAUAUUUCUUUUUCCUGCAGGAACCAACACCUGGGAUACAUUUGAGCUCCGAGUUCACAAGCGGGUGAUUGACCUUUUCAGCUCUCCAGAUGUGGUGAAGCAAAUCACCUCGAUCACUAUUGAGCCUGGU